Molecule: long non-coding RNA, 332 nt
Organism: Ictalurus punctatus (channel catfish)
Lineage: Eukaryota; Metazoa; Chordata; Actinopteri; Siluriformes; Ictaluridae
Exons: 4
Source: RefSeq, a predicted model, not a curated record
UUGCACCUCCUCUUCCCUUUCUGUAAUGUGUUUUCAUGGGAGAGGAAUGUUGAGGGCAAAGGCACACUGUUUGAGACUGUGUUAUCUCUUUGUCAGUAAACGAAGAUUCAACCCAAUUGCCGCCCGCCUAUUUAUUUGGUCAGAAGAAAACACACAACGCAGACAACAAGCAGUUACACUAGUGACCUAGAGCUUUUCAAAUGGAAAGGAGUAGGACGCUUGUCUUCCCAGAUGGCCGGGAGAUAUGUAAGAAGAUGCAUCAACUCCAGUUUUUACAGUUUUUACAUCUGUCAAAUGUUUUAAUGAUUUUAAUAAAUGUCACCUGAAUUUCA